Molecule: long non-coding RNA, 183 nt
Organism: Lutra lutra (Eurasian river otter)
Lineage: Eukaryota; Metazoa; Chordata; Mammalia; Carnivora; Mustelidae
Exons: 3
Source: RefSeq, a predicted model, not a curated record
CAAAUGUAGUGAUCCAGAGGGGCACAUGCAUCCCAAUGUUUAUAGCAGCAAUGGCCACAGUCACUAAACUGUAAAGAACCAAGAUGCCCUUCAAUGGACGAAUGGAUAAAGAAGAUAUGGUCCAUAUAUACAAUGGAGUAUUAUGCCUCCAUCAGAAAGGAUGAAUUCUCAACUUUUGUAUCA